This 165-nucleotide non-coding RNA is filed under the name uncultured Faecalibacterium sp. Its description in RNAcentral is "Lysine riboswitch". It matches the Rfam family "Lysine riboswitch aptamer". From Rfam's summary of the family: Riboswitches are metabolite binding domains within certain messenger RNAs that serve as precision sensors for their corresponding targets. Allosteric rearrangement of mRNA structure is mediated by ligand binding, and this results in modulation of gene expression. Lineage: Bacteria; Bacillati; Bacillota; Clostridia; Eubacteriales; Oscillospiraceae. The record is from RNAcentral.
CAGAUAGAGGCGCACCGCACCAUGAGUAUGCCGGCUGCAAGGCAGCGCAGCCGUUGGCCGGCAAAAAGGGGUGGGUGCCGAAGGCGAGGCCCGGCGCAGGCUUCGUGCUGGGCCGGUCAGCGAACAGCUGUCGGACUGUCGCACCCCGGUGCGGAGAGCUAUCUU